AUGUUACACAAAUGGAACAUGUUGGUUGACCUGGUUAAACUAACUGUCUUAUCUGACCAGUCAGAUACCCCUGUCUGGAGCUUGGAACCGAAUGGUCAAUACUCUGUUAAAUCACUUUACAAGUUGAUUAACUUUGGUGGGAUUUCCUCUAAGAUCAGAGAUUGCAUCUGGAAGAUUAAAGUCCCCUCGAAUAUUCAUGUUUUCUUGUGGCUGAUGUAUAACAAUAAAAGCUUAACUAGAGAUAACCUUGCUAAAAGAAGACAUGUUGAAGAUAAAACUUGUGUGUUUUGUGCUGAACCUGAAUCCAUUCAACAUCUAUUGUUUGACUGCAUUGUUGCAUCUGAAAUCUGGGCUGUGAUUGCUGAAUCUUUAAACAUAAUCAUCCCUAGGUCCUUUGAAUCUCUAUCUUCCUUCUGGAAGAAGAAAAAACAAUGUGAAGCUGUUAAUAUUACCACGUCUGCUACCUUGUGGUGCUUAUGGUGUUUGCGCAAUGAUUUUGUCUUUCAGGGACGAAGGUGGCGAGAUAUGCGCUGUGUGUUGGAUCGGGUGGGGGCAACAAUCAGGCAGUGGAAGAUCUUAUGUUCAGAGGUCCAGGGUGCUCUACUUCUCCGGUGCUUAAGGCUUUUCAAUCGUCGAAGAGGGGAAUUGCUUAGAAUCAUCUGGAUUUGCUGA
This 672-nucleotide ribosomal RNA is filed under the name Triticum aestivum (bread wheat). RNAcentral describes it as "partial small subunit ribosomal RNA". Lineage: Eukaryota; Viridiplantae; Streptophyta; Magnoliopsida; Poales; Poaceae. The record is from RNAcentral.